UACGUAGGGUCCGAGCGUUAUCCGGAAUUACUGGGCGUAAAGAGUUCGUAGGCGGGUUUUUAAGUUAGAUGUUAAAUAUGCAGGCUCAACUUGCAUGCUGCAUCUAAUACUGGGAGCCUUGAGAGUGGAAGAGGUAAGCGGAAUUUCCGGUGGAGCGGUAAAAUGCGUAGAUAUCGGAAAGAACACCAAUGGCGAAGGCAGCUUACUGGGCCAUUUCUGACGCUGAGGAACGAAAGCGUGGGGAGCGAUC
This 250-nucleotide ribosomal RNA is filed under the name uncultured bacterium. RNAcentral's name for it is "partial 16S ribosomal RNA". It matches the Rfam family "Bacterial small subunit ribosomal RNA", at positions 524 to 773 of the family's 1533-position model. The record is from RNAcentral.